This 266-nucleotide long non-coding RNA is filed under the name Gossypium barbadense (sea-island cotton). RNAcentral's name for it is "long non-coding RNA (GBAR_LNC002978)". Lineage: Eukaryota; Viridiplantae; Streptophyta; Magnoliopsida; Malvales; Malvaceae. The record is from RNAcentral.
GGUGAUCUGCCUCUAGUAGGAGCAUUUCCGGAUCUAGCAUUCUGUGUUACCUCUCGGCUAGCCACUUCUGGACAUUCUCGUACAAAAUGAUCUGGAGCACCACAUUUAUAGCAAACAUUUUCGCCUGCCCGACAAGGACCAUAAUGAAGUCUACCACACCGUGGACACCCUGAUCUACCCUGUCUGACAUUACCUACACUCGUAGUCGAGGUGGUCUGAGCCUUCGGAUCCUUAAAUUUGCUACCUCUAUUCUGACUAGAUUGCCC